Molecule: ribosomal RNA, 582 nt
Filed under: Myoxocephalus scorpius (shorthorn sculpin)
Lineage: Eukaryota; Metazoa; Chordata; Actinopteri; Perciformes; Cottidae
Description: SSU rRNA
Rfam family: Eukaryotic small subunit ribosomal RNA
Source: RNAcentral
AAAUCAGUUAUGGUUCCUUUGAUCGCUCUAACGUUACUUGGAUAACUGUGGCAAUUCUAGAGCUAAUACAUGCAAACGAGCGCUGACCUCCGGGGAUGCGUGCAUUUAUCAGAUCCAAAACCCAUGCGUGGUUGCCCUCCGGGGCGCCGCGGCAGCUUUGGUGACUCUGGAUAACCUCGAGCCGAUCGCUGGCCCCCGUGGCGGCGACGUCUCAUUCGAAUGUCUGCCCUAUCAACUUUCGAUGGUACUUUCUGUGCCUACCAUGGUGACCACGGGUAACGGGGAAUCAGGGUUCGAUUCCGGAGAGGGAGCCUGAGAAACGGCUACCACAUCCAAGGAAGGCAGCAGGCGCGCAAAUUACCCACUCCCGACUCGGGGAGGUAGUGACGAAAAAUAACAAUACAGGACUCUUUCGAGGCCCUGUAAUUGGAAUGAGUACACUUUAAAUCCUUUAACGAGGAUCAAUUGGAGGGCAAGUCUGGUGCCAGCAGCCGCGGUAAUUCCAGCUCCAAUAGCGUAUCUUAAAGUUGCUGCAGUUAAAAAGCUCGUAGUUGGAUCUCGGGAUCGAGCUGACGGUCCGCC